AUGUAUGUAUGUAUGUAUGUAUACACCCUUACAAAAAAACCCAGCGAACUUCCAGCGAAAGUUCGCUGGAAAUUAAAAGAUCACUGGAAAUUUACUAAGAUCACUGGGUUUUCGCUGGAUUUCCAUGGAAACAAAAGACUUCGCUGGAAGUUCGCUGGAAAUCCAACGAAAAACUUCCAGUGAUCUUAAAGUUCGCUGGAAGUUUACUGGGUUUCUUGUGAAAUAUUUCGCGGUGAUGUAAAAAGCGUUGCUGUUACAACUUCUGCAAGCAGUUAAAACUUGGAAAAUUGAUAAUAUAGCUUCUUAAAAUAAUAUUUCAAAUUUUUGUAUAAAAGUAAUCCUUUUUAUUUUAUUUUUUGCAUCUAAUAGAUGAUCUAUAGUGUGAGUUUCAAUUAUUAUUAGUUCUACUCAAGUUACAAAACAAAAUCAUCUGGAUAAAAGUGAUAAAAUGCUAUUGGUUGGAAAUUGAUAAAUUAAUAAAAAACGAUUGAUUCUAAUUGCGCGAAAAUAUGUUGCUCUAAAGACCCAAACCGAAAAAAAUGCCUAAAGUGGUUUUCAAAAGAUGAAUUGACGAAUUUCUUAAUUCUUUUUGUUUCGUUGUGAUAAUUUGUCGUAUGAGAACGCUAACGAGAAAAAACUUUUUAAAUAUAGAAACAUGCGUAAUAUAAAGUUUACUUAUGCCUAUAAAAAAAUAUGUUUUACAUUAAUUAAUAAAUUAACUUUUUAGUUUCUUGUUAAAAAUUGUAUUCUGUAUUGAAGUUUAUUUCUGAGAAUUUGUAAUUAUACCUAAGAUAAUCUAAUCCUACAUUGUAUUUUAAUUUAUAAAACUCGAUAUUUUAAAAUAAAUAUAUUACUUUUUUAUCGCG
Long non-coding RNA from Hydra vulgaris (swiftwater hydra), 866 nucleotides. RefSeq lists it as uncharacterized. NCBI's taxonomy places the organism in Eukaryota, Metazoa, Cnidaria, Hydrozoa, Anthoathecata, Hydridae. The record is from RefSeq and is a predicted model, not a curated record.